Molecule: ribosomal RNA, 460 nt
Filed under: uncultured bacterium
Lineage: Bacteria
Description: partial 16S ribosomal RNA
Rfam family: Bacterial small subunit ribosomal RNA
Source: RNAcentral
CCUACGGGUGGCAGCAGUGAGGAAUAUUGGUCAAUGGGCGAGAGCCUGAACCAGCCAAGUAGCGUGAAGGAUGACUGCCCUACGGGUUGUAAACUUCUUUUAUAAAGGAAUAAAGUGAGGCACGUAUGCAUUAUUGUAUGUACUUUAUGAAUAAGGAACGGCUAACUCCGUGCCAGCAGCCGCGGUAAUACGGAGGAGCCGAGCGUUAUCCGGAUUUAUUGGGUUUAAAGGGAGCGUAGAUGGGUUGUUAAGUCAGUUGUGAAAGUUUGCGGCUCAACCGUAAAAUUGCAAUUGAUACUGGCAGCCUUGAGUACAGUUGAGGUAGGCGGAAUUCGUGGUGUAGCGGUGAAAUGCUUAGAUAUCACGAAGAACACCGAUUGCGAAGGCAGCUUACUAAACUGCCACUGACAUUGAUGCUCGAAAGUGUGGGUAUCAAACAGGAUUAGAUACCCGGGUAGUC